RNAcentral lists this ribosomal RNA (497 nucleotides) under uncultured bacterium. Its description in RNAcentral is "partial 16S ribosomal RNA". It matches the Rfam family "Bacterial small subunit ribosomal RNA", at positions 28 to 507 of the family's 1533-position model. The record is from RNAcentral.
GAUGAACGCUGGCGGCGUGCCUAAUACAUGCAAGUCGAGCGGACGGACGAGAAGCUUGCUUCUCUGAUGUUAGCGGCGGACGGGUGAGUAACACGUGGAUAACCUACCUAUAAGACUGGGGUAACUUCGGGAAACCGGAGAUAACACCCGUUAAUAUUUUGAACGGCAUGGUUCAAAAGUGAAAGACGGUUUUGCUGUCACUAGUACAUAGUACCGCGCUGCAUUAGCUAGUUGGUAAGGUAACGGCUUACCAAGGCAACGAUGCAUAGCCGAUCUGAGAGGGUGAUCAGCCACACUGGAACUGAGACACGGUCCAGACUCCUACGGGAGGCAGCAGUAGGGAAUCUUGCGCAAUGGGCGAAAGCCUGACGGAGCAACGCCGCGUGAGUGAUGAAGGUCUUCGGAUCGUAAAACUCUGUUAUUAGGGAAGAAGAGAUGUGUGAGUAACUGUGCACAUCUUGACGGUACCUAAUCAGAAAGCCACGGCUAACUACGUG